This 517-nucleotide ribosomal RNA is filed under the name Bos taurus (domestic cattle). RNAcentral's name for it is "similar to 16S ribosomal RNA". It matches the Rfam family "Bacterial large subunit ribosomal RNA", at positions 2020 to 2773 of the family's 2925-position model. Lineage: Eukaryota; Metazoa; Chordata; Mammalia; Artiodactyla; Bovidae. The record is from RNAcentral.
CUCUUACUUCCAAUCAGUGAAAUGACUUCCCGUGAAGAGGCGGGAAUGCCAAAUAAGACGAGAAGACCUAUGGAGCUUUAACUAACCAACCAAAGAGAAUAGAUUUAACCAUUUAGGAAUAACAACAAUCUCCAUGGAGUUGGUAGUUCGGUUGGGGUGACCUCGGAGAAUAAAAAAUCCUCCGAGCGAUUUUAAAGACUAGACCCACAAGUCAAAUCACUCUAUCGCUCAUUGAUCCAAAAACUUGAUCAACGGAACAAGUUACCCUAGGGAUAACAGCGCAAUCCUAUUCAAGAGUCCAUAUCGACAAUAGGGUUUACGACCUCGAAUGUUGGAUCAGGACAUCCUGAUGGUGCAACCGCUAUCAAAGGUUCGUUGUUCAACGAUUAAAGUCCUACGUGAUCUGAGUUCAGACCGGAGUAAUCCAGGUCGGUUUCUAUCUAUUACGUAUUUCUCCCAGUACGAAAGGACAAGAGAAAUAAGCAACUUUAAAUCAAGCGCCUUAAGACAACCAAUG